This 267-nucleotide long non-coding RNA is filed under the name Homo sapiens (human). RNAcentral's name for it is "non-protein coding lnc-TRAM1-2:1". Lineage: Eukaryota; Metazoa; Chordata; Mammalia; Primates; Hominidae. The record is from RNAcentral.
UUCAACCAGAGUUCUAUAUACCCCUGGCCACACUGAUGAUCACAUGGCUCUACUCUUAGAAGAGGAAAAUGCUAUCUUUUCUGGAGAUUGCAUCCUAGGGGAAGGAACAACGGUAUUUGAAGACCUCUAUGAUUAUAUGAACUCUUUAAAAGAGUUAUUGAAAAUCAAAGCUGAUAUUAUAUAUCCAGAAUACUCCUGAGAAUUUACAUGAAAUGGCUAAACAUAAUCUCUUACUUCAUUUGAAAAAACUAGAAAAAGAAGGAAAAA